RNAcentral lists this ribosomal RNA (267 nucleotides) under uncultured bacterium. Its description in RNAcentral is "partial 16S ribosomal RNA". It matches the Rfam family "Bacterial small subunit ribosomal RNA", at positions 793 to 1055 of the family's 1533-position model. The record is from RNAcentral.
GUCCACGCCCUAAACGAUGUCGACUGGUUGUUGGGGUUUGACACCCUUAGUAACGUAGCUAACGCGCGAAGUCGACCGCCUGGGGAGUACGGUCGCAAGAUUAAAACUCAAAGGAAUUGACGGGGGCCCGCACAAGCGGUGGAUGAUGUGGAUUAAUUCGAUGCAAACGCGAAAAACCUUACCUACCCUUGACAUGCCCCGGAGCCCUGGUGAGAGCUGGGGGUGCCCCGAAAGGGAGCCGGGACACAGGUGCUGCAUGGCUGUCGU